CUACGGGCUGCUCCAGUAAGGAAUAUUGCGCAAUGGAGGCAACUCUGACGCAGCCAUGCCGCGUGCAGGAAGAAGGCCUUAUGGGUCGUAAACUGCUUUUAUUUAGGAAUAAACCCCCGAACGUGUUCGGGGCUGAAGGUACUAAACGAAUAAGCACCGGCUAACUCCGGGCCAGCAGCCGCGGUAAUACGGAGGGUGCAAGCGUUAUCCGGAUUUAUUGGGUUUAAAGGGUGCGCAGGCGGGCUAUUAAGUCAGUGGUGAAAUCCCGGGGCUCAACUCCGGAACUGCCAUUGAUACUGAUAGUCUUGAGUUUGGUUGAAGUGGGCGGAAUGUAGCAUGUAGCGGUGAAAUGCAUAGAUAUGCUACAGAACACCAAUCGCGAAGGCAGCUCACUAAGCCAAAACUGACGCUCAUGCACGAAAGCGUGGGGAUCAAACAGGAUUAGAUACCCGCGUAGUC
This 459-nucleotide ribosomal RNA is filed under the name uncultured bacterium. RNAcentral's name for it is "partial 16S ribosomal RNA". It matches the Rfam family "Bacterial small subunit ribosomal RNA", at positions 339 to 795 of the family's 1533-position model. The record is from RNAcentral.